This 72-nucleotide transfer RNA is filed under the name Candidatus Woesebacteria bacterium. RNAcentral's name for it is "tRNA-Arg". It matches the Rfam family "tRNA". From Rfam's summary of the family: Transfer RNA (tRNA) molecules are approximately 80 nucleotides in length. Their secondary structure includes four short double-helical elements and three loops (D, anti-codon, and T loops). The record is from RNAcentral. Lineage: Bacteria; Candidatus Woeseibacteriota.
GCGCUCGUAGCUCAACGGAUAGAGUAACAGUUUGCGGAACUGUCGAUACAGGUUCGAUUCCUGUCGGGCGCA